Molecule: ribosomal RNA, 847 nt
Filed under: Hysterothylacium aduncum
Lineage: Eukaryota; Metazoa; Nematoda; Chromadorea; Rhabditida; Raphidascarididae
Description: SSU rRNA
Rfam family: Eukaryotic small subunit ribosomal RNA
Source: RNAcentral
GGUAAUUCUAGAGCUAAUACAUGCACCAAAGCUCCGAAUUUUUGACGAGCGCAUCUAUUAGAUUAAAACCAAUCGGGUUUCGGCCCGUUUGUUGGUGACUCUGAAUAACUAUGGCUGAUCGCAUGGUCUAGAACCGGCGACGUGUCUAUCAAGUGUCUGCCUUAUCAACUGUCGAUGGUAGUUUAUGUGCCUACCAUGGUUGUAACGGGUAACGGAGAAUAAGGGUUCGACUCCGGAGAGGGAGCCUGAGAAACGGCUACCACAUCCAAGGAAGGCAGCAGGCGCGCAAAUUACCCACUCUCGGCAUGAGGAGGUAGUGACGAAAAAUAACGAGACCGUUCUCUAUGAGGCCGGUUAUCGGAAUGGGUACAAUUUAAACCCGUUAACGAGGAUCUAUGAGAGGGCAAGUCUGGUGCCAGCAGCCGCGGUAAUUCCAGCUCUCAAAGUGUAUAUCGUCAUUGCUGCGGUUAAAAAGCUCGUAGUUGGAUCUGCGCCUCAGGACCUGGUCCGCCCACUGGGUGAGAACUGGGCUCCUGGGCUAGUUCUGCUGGUUUUCCCUGCGUUGCCUUCAUCGGUAGCGUAGGGUGGCUAGCGAGUUUACUUUGAAAAAAUUAGAGUGCUUCACGCGGGCUUAUGUCUGAAUACUCGUGCAUGGAAUAAUAGAAUAGGAUCUCGGCUCUAUUUUGUUGGUUUUCUGAUCUGAGAUAAUGGUUAAGAGGGACGGACGGGGGCAUUCGUAUCGCUGCGUGAGAGGUGAAAUUCUUGGACCGUAGCGAGACGUCCGACUGCGAAAGCAUUUGCCAAGAAUGUCUUCAUUAAUCAAGAACGAAAGUCAGAGGUUCGAAGG